Molecule: ribosomal RNA, 497 nt
Filed under: uncultured bacterium
Lineage: Bacteria
Description: partial 16S ribosomal RNA
Rfam family: Bacterial small subunit ribosomal RNA
Source: RNAcentral
GAUGAACGCUGGCGGCGUGCCUAAUACAUGCCAGUCGAGCGAACAGAGGGGAGGUUUGUUCCUCUGACGUUAUCGGCGGAGGGGUGAGUAACAUGGGGAUAACCCACCUAUAAGACUGGGAUAACUUCGGGAAACUGGCGCAAAUACCGGAAAAUAUAUUGAUCCACAUGAUUUAAUAAUGAAAGACGGUUUUGUUGUCACUAAUUGAUGCAUCGGCGCCGCAUUAGCUAGUUGGUAAGGUAACGGCUUACCACGGCAACGAUGCGUAGCCGACCUGAGAGGGUGAUCGCCCACACUGGAACUGAGAAACGGCCAAAACUCCAACGGGAGGCAGCAGUGGGGAAUCUUCGGCAAUGGGCGAAGGCCUGACGGGCAAACGCCGCGGGAGUGAUGAAGGUCUUCGGAUCGAAAGACGCUGUUAUUAGGGAAGAACAAAUGUGUAAGUAACUAUGCACGUCUUGACGGUACCUAAUCAGAAAGCCACGGCUAACUACGUG